GAAAAGCUGUGGGGUAAACGUGUACAUGUUUUUUUUUUUUUGAGGAGGAAUAGUGGGUCUCCUAGAAACCUGGAGAUGCUGGGACCUCCUUGAGGAAGUCAGAGGGAAAUAUUCCUUGUUAAUUAAUUUGGAGGAGGAGAUGAAAAAUGAGAGGAGCAGAGGAGGAGCUCAGAGGGUGAAGUCUGAGAACUGGUUGAAGGCCUUUCUCUGAGAUGUGACCCUUCCUCGCAACCACUCUAAAUCUUUAAGAGAUGCAACAACAAUAUCAAACAUUUACACGCUGCAUGAUCACCUAAAGAUUUAAAGAACAAUGCUGCUAUGUGAUGGGACUCCACUGCAUGAAGCCUGAACUGAAUUCCUUCUCCUGGAACUGGCCUUUCUAUCCUCUGGCAAAACAAAAUCUAAAAAUGAAAAUACAUCGCUGUCACUGUACCUUGAAAAUAAGUUUCAAAUGUGUUUGAAAAUUUAAACUGCAAGCUGAGAUACAGCUUGAGGUGUUUUUCUUAAAUUGUUACUAAACUGCCUCUUCUCAGUGCAACAUCCAAUUACUGAGCUGUCUGCUGAAGUUAAGCAAGGUGAUGAUUGUACCUAAACAAUAAAUGCAUUUCGGCUGAAA
Long non-coding RNA from Cebus imitator (Panamanian white-faced capuchin), 616 nucleotides. RefSeq lists it as uncharacterized. Lineage: Eukaryota; Metazoa; Chordata; Mammalia; Primates; Cebidae. The record is from RefSeq and is a predicted model, not a curated record. The transcript is spliced from 2 exons.